AAUCCUGAUUAGAAAUGCAUUAGGAUUUCUAAUAAACCCCAUGAUGCAGCAAAUUGGUAUUAUGAAUCAAAAUGUUUAGAAAUCAUGUAAUUCUACUGCAACAAAUAUAUUAUGAAUAUUGAACAUAUUAACGAGAAGUGUCUUGGCAAAAAUAGAAUAAAGCAUUCAGGAUAAGAAUCUCACCUGCCAAUGGAACCUAAUCCAAUAAAUAUAGGUAAAGAUGAAUAAAAACUUCCCAUGACAGUGCUCCAAGUCAUCAUGAUUUGCACACAGAGAGUCGGGCCCAUUGCCUCCGCAUCUGCUCCCAGCUCCAUCAACGGACUACCACCAUAUCCCGCGGCAGCUCCAGCGGCGUCCCUUCCGAUCGGGGGCGACCACAUCAGCGCCCAGCACAAGCAGCGCACACACGGACGUCCCCGCCACGACGUGCAACAACAUCAGCCCAUCGGCGGCGGUGCGGGGCCUCCACAUUGGCGCGCAGCUCGAGCAGCCCAUGCACAACUCGAGCUAAAUACCCAUGCCUUGCCACUUGAUGAUAAAUAAAGUAUGGGUUCGUUAGUUAAUAUAUUUAAUCAAAUACGCCGAGUACAACAUAUGUUCAGUUUUAUCACAUCUCAUAUAUACAUUAUUGAUCUCAUCAAACAUUUUUGAAUGUUAACAUACAUAAACAAAAGGUCAUAUCAUAACUCCUAACAUACAUACAUGAAUGUUAGCACUGUCACUGUCCUAGGGGUAAAGAAUCUGCAUUGUUCCGUAACGAGUCUCGCCACUUUCAUCUGUUCUUGUGGUUACUCUCAUAAUCAUAGACAAUCUAUUUUUGGAAGGAUCAGGACGGUGUUGCAAUUACGCAUGUCAAGAGAAAGCUGAUCAGAUGCCAUAAGCCCAUAAUCAUGUGCGAAGAUGAAACUUAGAACGUGCCUUGCACUACAGUGAAAUUUUUUACCUCUCAUAUUUGCAGACCCAAUGGGUAAUAAGUAAUCCCAUAUGCACCCUUUCUCCGAGCCACAUCAU
This 1011-nucleotide long non-coding RNA is filed under the name Triticum aestivum (bread wheat). Its description in RNAcentral is "long non-coding RNA (TAES_LNC009582)". Lineage: Eukaryota; Viridiplantae; Streptophyta; Magnoliopsida; Poales; Poaceae. The record is from RNAcentral.